Long non-coding RNA from Oncorhynchus gorbuscha (pink salmon), 3234 nucleotides. RefSeq lists it as uncharacterized. The transcript is spliced from 3 exons. The record is from RefSeq and is a predicted model, not a curated record. NCBI's taxonomy places the organism in Eukaryota, Metazoa, Chordata, Actinopteri, Salmoniformes, Salmonidae.
UAUCAUCUUUUUAAGUGGGAGAACUUGCACAAUUGGUGGCUGACUAAAUAAUUUUUAUGCCCCACUGUACAACUCUCAAACCAUUUAGCCUAAGCAAUGCUAGUCACUUCUAGACUGGUAGCUACCUUCAGCAGAUUAAACAUAUUUGACUAACAUUAAUGUAAGCAAGCUAACGUUUGCAAAUAAGAGUAUCUGAAUCUUGUAGCCAGAAUUUUCUGAAAAACACUUGUUACUAAAAAUAGAAUUGCCAACACAGCUAACUCUCUGUUUGUGUGUUGUUAGCAAUGAUUAAUGUGUAUCAAUUGUCUAUGGUUGGUUUGCUUGUUGGUUCUCAGCUGGCUAGACAUCUUGCUGCCAAUUUAGUGAUGCUAACUAGCUAACAGCAAGCUGACAAUAUUAAAAUGUCCAUGUUAGGUGUGCUAAGCUUGCCAGUCUAAUACAGAUCAAUGCAAUUAGCGGUGUGGUUUAAUUGUGUAUUGGUAUGUAUUUUGUUUUAUGUGGUACAGAAUCCACCAGGAUGAUUUUCCAACCGCUGGCUCUCCACAAGGUGAAGUCCUGCUGAAAUACACACGAGCAUGAGGGAGCGGACACACCUUGCAGUUAUAGAGCACCACAAGACUGUGGGACAGAAACCACCUAGGGACACUGAAUGGAGACGUGCAGUACCAGCAAAUCCUCUGCAAGAGAUCCAAACAGUUGGUGUUUAAGAAGGUCUACGAGCCCUGCACUCACCACUUCUGGCAGAGUCUUAUCCAGCUGGCUGUACGCCGCAGACAGGACAAGACCAUUCACCACAAGCACAAAGAGUCUCAGCUUCCCCAGCCCACCAUGCCAAACACCAUUGCCAGUGUACCGAAGCCGGAUAAAGGACAGUGUGGCUCAACAUAAGAGAAUGUAGAACCACCAUAAAAUAAAUACAGAUAUUUUCUAUUAAUCUUAAAAAUGUGUCUGCCUUUAUGGAUUCACAGAAUAUUUGUAUUUAAGUUAUACAGGGCUUUAUAGCAUCAAACAGAUGUUAAAGCUUGUUUACAGUCCGUAUAUUGACAUGCCUGUAGACAAUUGUCAUAGCAACAUCAUGAACAUUCUAUUGUCGUCCGAGAUCAAACUUGUCGUUGUCGUUCUGAAAAAGUAUAAACACAAAAUGACAGCCUCUGCAUGACAUCAGCAGUCCGGUGCUCCAAAUAGCAUACUUUCUCUAUUUUAAUAAUAGAGAUUAAACACAUUUGUUUAAAAAUAUAUUCAGCAAAUGUCAACCAAUCAAGUCAGGCAACUAAAAGCAAUUUUCUAAACAAUAUUUUGGUUUGUUGCUAGCUAGUGUCUAAACGUCUAGACUUUAGUUACUUUUGAUUCAUUAUUACAGGUAAAUAAACCCAUAUCAUCAUUAUUUACAAGCUAAUGGCGAGCUUACCUUAAUAGGUUACUGCCACAGUGUGAUGAAAUAAAAGUAGGUCAUUCUAUGUGACAAUUUUAGAACUACUGCAUCAUCUGGUCUCAGGAGGAUUUGGUCUGGUUGCUGUGGCAGUCCGGUAACCACGUCCAUUGCGACAGUCGCAGAGACUUAUUUUUUUUUCAUGUUUACAGAUAUUCCACCACCAGGGGAUAAACUGGCCUUUAGACAUUCAGAUAUCCCCCCCAAAAAGAUUUGUCAAUUUCUAAAAUACAGGUGAAUGUGCACUAUUUAAUGCUAACUCAAAAUGAGUACUGGGUGAUCAGCAGAUGAUGUUAGAGAUGGUCAUGAUGAAAUUGCCAUUCACAAAAAAACAUUCAGGAAGAAAAUACAGUAUGAUCAAUGUAGUAAAGUGCAGGGAAUAUAUGUCUGAGGUGUAAAGUGCAGACAUUUUUUGAUCAGCAAAUGAUGGGAGGGGUGUUGUCAUGAUUAAACUGCCAUUCAGCUCCUCUUGUCAUCUAUUGCUUGAAAUAUAGCAUAAUGUCCAAUCUAUUGAGAGGGAUACAGUUUUGCUCCAAUGAAAACACACAGGCAAAGGAAUUGUGUUUCUCUCUAUCUAGAAUCCACUCCAGGAAGAAGCCCAGGUACCACAUGGUAUUGUCUCUUAGACAAAAAAAGAUUUACAACUGUAAAUUAUUGCAUUAUUGUUUCUCCUCACUGUUAGUUAACCUAGCUGGCUGGAAAGCCAAUAAUUGUUAUUUACAUCUGUUUGGAAUCCUAUCACGUGUCAUGCUUAUAGUUUUUAGAUUGAUUAUGAUAGUGAAUGCAUUUCAAUGUCAACCUUUGUCAAUUAUGUUACAUAGCUAGCUAGUAAAAUUAUUUACAGUUGUUGAUGUUACACAUGUUUGCUAACAGGUUAUAAAUGCGAGGCUGGCACAUAGCAAGUUAGCAGGCACCAGGCAAACUAGCAGGCUAACAUUUACUGGUAAACCUAGCUUUAGGUAACUGGUUGUAAUGUUAGUAGCUUGCUGUUCAGUAGCAAUUUCUAUGAAAAAAUAUAUAUACGUUUUACAAUCAAGAUAAAAUAGAUCUCCGAUUUGUAAAAACCUCUUCUCUUUUCAGUCAUUUAAUUUAAUUUUACCUUUUAUUUAACCAGGCAAGUCAGUUAAGAACAUAUUCUUAUUUUCAAUGACGGCCUGAGAACAGUGGGGGCAGAACAACAGGGGCAGAACGACAGAUUUGUACCUUGUCAGCUCGGGGGUUUGAACUCGCAACCUUCCGGUUACUAGUCUAACACUCUAACCACUAGGCUAUGCUGCCGCCCCAUAUCAUAGAUAUGGCUACCGGUAGCUGUUUAGCUAACUUAGCUAACUAGACUAGCUACCUACCUAAGUUAGUAAACAGAACAAUAAGUUGAAUGUCAAUAGAAUAUCAAAAAAUACUCCCUCGUCAAAUUUGUGUUGAGAGGAAUCAUUUGAAGCCAUUGCUGUCUGGUCAGUAAUUUGUUUUUCACAAAUGAUUUUGUGUUGUGUCUGCCUCCCUUUCAACAAAGCCUGUAUUGGGGGAGGGACGGGUCCAGAUCAGGAGGCCCUGCACCACAGGAGUUGUAGUCUUUCAGAGACUGGAAAAACAAUUGUCACCUUGUAUACAGUGCCUUCAGAAAGUAUUCAUACCCUUGGACUUAUUCCACAUUUUGUUGUGUUAAAGCCUGAAUUCAAAACGGAUUCAAUUAUUAUUAUUCCCUCAUGCAUCUAAACACAAUGCCCCAUACUGACAAAGUGAAAACAUGUUUUUAGAAAAUUGUGCAAAGUUAUUGAAAAUUAAAUAUAGAACUCACUUCCAUAAGU